Molecule: ribosomal RNA, 213 nt
Filed under: uncultured Methanomicrobiales archaeon
Lineage: Archaea; Methanobacteriati; Methanobacteriota; Methanomicrobia; Methanomicrobiales
Description: partial 16S ribosomal RNA
Rfam family: Archaeal small subunit ribosomal RNA
Source: RNAcentral
AAAUGGGCAACGGUAGGUCAGCAUGCCCCGAAUUUAUCUGGGCUACACGCGGGCUACAAUGGGUGGGACAAUGGGUAUCGACACCGAAAGGUGAAGGCCAAAUCUCCUAAACCCAUCCGUAGUUCGGAUUGUGGGCUGCAACUCGCCCACAUGAAGCUGGAAUCUGUAGUAAUCGUGUCUCAAAAUGGCACGGUGAAUAUGUCCCUGCUCCUU